UUUAUGGAGAGUUUGAUCCUGGCUCAGGAUGAACGCUGGCGGCGUGCCUAAUACAUGCAAGUCGAGCGAACGGACGAGAAGCUUGCUUCUCUGAUGUUAGCGGCGGACGGGUGAGUAACACGUGGAUAACCUACCUAUAAGACUGGGAUAACUUCGGGAAACCGGAGCUAAUACCGGAUAAUAUUUUGAACCGCAUGGUUCAAAAGUGAAAGACGGUCUUGCUGUCACUUAUAGAUGGAUCCGCGCUGCAUUAGCUAGUUGGUAAGGUAACGGCUUACCAAGGCAACGAUGCAUAGCCGACCUGAGAGGGUGAUCGGCCACACUGGAACUGAGACACGGUCCAGACUCCUACGGGAGGCAGCAGUAGGGAAUCUUCCGCAAUGGGCGAAAGCCUGACGGAGCAACGCCGCGUGAGUGAUGAAGGUCUUCGGAUCGUAAAACUCUGUUAUUAGGGAAGAACAUAUGUGUAAGUAACUGUGCACAUCUUGACGGUACCUAAUCAGAAAGCCACGGCUAACUACGUGCCAGCAGCCGCGGUAAUACGUAGGUGGCAAGCGUUAUCCGGAAUUAUUGGGCGUAAAGCGCGCGUAGGCGGUUUUUUAAGUCUGAUGUGAAAGCCCACGGCUCAACCGUGGAGGGUCAUUGGAAACUGGAAAACUUGAGUGCAGAAGAGGAAAGUGGAAUUCCAUGUGUAGCGGUGAAAUGCGCAGAGAUAUGGAGGAACACCAGUGGCGAAGGCGACUUUCUGGUCUGUAACUGACGCUGAUGUGCGAAAGCGUGGGGAUCAAACAGGAUUAGAUACCCUGGUAGUCCACGCCGUAAACGAUGAGUGCUAAGUGUUAGGGGGUUUCCGCCCCUUAGUGCUGCAGCUA
Molecule: ribosomal RNA, 872 nt
Filed under: Staphylococcus aureus
Lineage: Bacteria; Bacillati; Bacillota; Bacilli; Caryophanales; Staphylococcaceae
Description: bacterial SSU rRNA
Rfam family: Bacterial small subunit ribosomal RNA
Source: RNAcentral